UUCAUUUUGGUGGAAGCUAGAAUUUGAGAAGUUCAAAAGUUAAAAGGAAGAGUCUGGUUGCUGUAAAGUAUGGGUUUAACUUGUUGCUUUCUUUUCUUUCUUUCUUUCUAUUUUUUUUUCAUUUCCUUACACUGUCCUUAUUGGCCUCUGGCACCAUGAGAGAGCUAUCCACACAGGCAGUGCCAGUAUUUUUAUACUGACUUUAAAAACAUCCUGAACUGUUUACACUGAAGAAACCAGAACCUCUCUCAAAUGCAGCACUGCUGGGGCAGAUGUAUUAUUCUUCCAGACAACUGAAUAUAGAAAAGAAUGCAAAAUGCACUGAAAAAGCAGAACCUGUCAGUCACUCCCAGCAGCUGUCAGCAUCGGAAAGGAUGGAUGCAGAAGUCAAACACGGCCACCUUCAUCCAGCCACUUCUGCGCCUGGCUUAGAGGUAACUCCUCGACAGCAGCAAGAUCCCUCGAACUGGCCAUGGGCUCAUCGGUAUUGGGCGUCGCGCACGUUCCCGUGUAGAGUUGGUGACCGUGUCUGGGGAUGGCGAUGUGCUGGAGUGAACGGCAUGGGGAUGACACCCUGUUUUCGGGAAGAAACAAAGACAUUUGAAACAUUUGCACAACAUAGAAGCUCUCCAGCCCAAGUCUUGAAAGGGCUAAAGGUUUGCCGGGGAAGCUUUGUGGAGAGGGAGUAAUAAAGAGGGUUUUACGAUGCAAGGUCAGAUGGGAAAGUUUUAUUGAAGGGGCUUGGCGAGCUUCUAGUCCCAUGGGGGAAAGGAGGAGGGAUUUGAAUGUAGUGGUUUUUUCCCUUUUGGAAGGUCAAAGCCAUUCCAGACAAUUGCAAAGCAUUAUCAGAGAAAUAUGCUUAUUCUUCUGUUGCGGCUGUCAAAAAUGGAGGAGGGGAGGAAGUCCAAAACACUACAUUUUACCAAAGCCCUGAAGGCAAAAAUGAUCUGCUGGCUUGAAAUUUAUCUUAAUGAGCAAAAUCCAGCCAAUGGAACAUGGUGCAGUUGAAAGUGACAGAUGGGAUCAUUUAAAGUUUGAUUAUUUGCAUGAAAUAAAAUAAUAUUUUUGAUAAGUUAUUUUUCUUCUGGUUGUUACAGUGUUCUGCAUAGUGUCACAGCCUCUCACUGGCAGUCCCAAAUCUCUGACAGAUUAAUUUAUCCAGAUUCUCUCAAAUUCAGACUUAAAGGGAAAUCCUGGAACUCCUCAGCUCAUGUAAACCCAUGGAACUGGUCCAACAGCUGGUGGCGAGUGAAAGUAGACUCCACGGCCAAGAGAUUUUUGCUAGGUAGGGACUACAAGCAAAGACAUAACAGAAUUUAUAACCCAAUGUGUGCUUCAAUCUUUUAGUUAAGGGAGAGCAGAUUGCACCCAAAAAUGUGUCAAGGCGCCGAUCGGCUGGGGAAAACUAUUUUGGUGAAAGACUUUUGGGGCAGGGUGAGUAAUCCUGGUUGGACAGUCUCGGGGAGAACCUGUCCUGCAUCAGGGUUCCCCUGCAGGGAUGGUGGCAGUAGACUCUGCUUUGGGAGCUCCAUCUCUGAGGCUAGACCCUGAGUCUGAAUCUGUCCAGGAUCAGACCUCUGAAAAUAAGAGCAGUCAUCAAUCAGGCAGGUCGGAAGAGUGUCUAGAAAUGUAUCAAUUUGUUCCUGAGUAUUUUCAGGCACAAACAACUGCAAGAAUUUACCACUGCUAUAUAAAAAUAUCACUUGGGACCUAGGCAGGUCCAUAAAAGCUCUGUGCAAUUGGAGGAUGCAUUUCCUUGUAAGAGACCUGCUGAAUUUUGAUGCUGAGAAGUG
This is a long non-coding RNA of Columba livia (rock pigeon), 1793 nucleotides long. RefSeq lists it as uncharacterized. The record is from RefSeq and is a predicted model, not a curated record. The transcript is spliced from 3 exons. NCBI's taxonomy places the organism in Eukaryota, Metazoa, Chordata, Aves, Columbiformes, Columbidae.